GCCUGCUGGACCCGCCGGCGCUUGGGCGUCCGGUGACCUGCGGGCAGGGGCGCGGUGCCCGGCGUCCGCGCCCGUUGGGCAGCGAUUUGCUGCGUAUGAGGAAUAACAACUGUGUUUCGUGGUUUUUGUUUGGUUACAGCAAAAAUAGCGCACGCUUUUCGAGGAAACUGAAAAAUACAGGACUAAAAAUCACCUUUCAUCCCAACACCUGGAGAGAUGCGCAGGUCCAGGAGAAAACGUGGGAGACUUUUCACUACAGGAGCCCGAUCAGUUCUUGGUCCAUAAUGGGUAUAUGGUCCCUGUGCAAAAAAAUGGCCAUACCAGUAUCUUUCAUAUGGCACCAAGGAUGGGCCUGGAAGUUGAAGACAAUGUGAGCUUGUUGAUGGAGGUGGAUACAGUUAGCAGGAAAGAGGUUGUCCAGCCAUUUGAGGACAUCUCCAGAGUUCCUAGAGCCAAGAGUCGCAAGAGAAAUACCUCAUCUCUCCCCCAGUCCUCCAUAAUUGUAUUCACGCCUUCAUUUUUAACAGCUUUAUUGAGAUAUAUUUCACAUAUCAAUUUACCCAUUUAGCGUAUACAAUUCAUAAACACAUGAAUUAUCACUACAGUAAAUUUUAGAACGUUUUUAUCACAUUAGAAAGAAAUCCCAUACCCGUUAGCUACUAUCUCUCUAUCCACUCCCUGCCCCUUCCUCAGCCCUAAGCAACCACUGAUCUACUUUUUGUCUAUAGAUUUCCCUGCUUGGGACACUUCAUAUGAAUGAAAUCAUAUAAUAUGUGUCUUUUAUGACUGGCUUCUUUCACUUAGCAUCAUAUUUUCAACACUUAUGCAUGAUGAAGCCUUUAUUGGUACUUCAUGCUUUUCUUACAGCUGACUAAUGUUCUAUUGUAUAGAUAUAUGACAUUUUUAACCAUUUGUCAUUUGAUGGACAUUUGGAUUAUUUCUGCAUUUUGGCAAUUAGGAAUAAUGCUGCUAUAAAUACUGUUUGCAAGUUUUCAUGUGGACAUAUGUUUUCAUUUUUCUUGGGUAUAUACCUAGGGAGUGGAAUUGCUGGGUCAUACGGUAACUCUCUUUAAUUGUUUGAGGAACUGCCAGAUUGAGGUCAUGGUCUUUUAAUUAACUUAAAAAUUAUACCUGUUCUUUGAAAAAUAUUUUAAAAUAACAAAAAAUUUUGUAAAAGAUUUUAUUUAUUCAUUUGAAAGAGAGAGCACAAGUACGGAGAGAGGCAGAGGGAAAGGGAGAAGCAGACUCCCAGCUGAGCCGGGAGCCUGACAUGGGGCUCGAUUCCAGGACCUGGAGAUCAUGAUCUGAGCUGAAGGCAGAUGCCCAACCACCUGAGCCACCCCAGCGCCCCAAAAUACCAAAAAUUUUGAGGAUAGAAACAUUUAAUUCCACUACUUAGAGAAUAUCCUUGUGGGAUACUUUUCUGUGCAUAUUGUUUUUAAUGGGACCACACUUGGCAUGAUAUUUUGUAGCCCAUAUUGUGAUCAUCUUUUCAUGUCAAUGAUUAUUUCCAUCAGUGAGUUUCAAACUUAUUUUACUCUAGGAACCCCUUCUUCAAAAGACCAUUUUCCAAAAGCCCAAUAUAUAAUCACUCAGAUAUCAACAAUUACUAAUUACCUGGCACCCCUGCCAGGUGCCAAGCAUCCCUGCCUGCCCCCAUGCCUGUUCUCUUUAAAAGUUGCAGGUAUUACAAACUAUAGAGGAGUCACCUCAUUAGCUGCUCCCCUAUAAGAACACCCAGCUUGCUCUCUGUGUUUCAUUGCUAUUAACGGUGACUCAAGGAACAUACAUCUGUGUGUACUUUUAUCAUCUUUUUAAGAGAAAUCCCUAGAGGUGCCUGGGUGGCUCAGUCAGUUAAGCAUCUGCCUUUGGCUCAGGUCAUGAUCCCAGGGUCCUAGGAUUGAGCCAGGUGUCCUCCGUGGGCUCCCUGCUCAGCGGGGGGGGGGUUGUCCGCCUCUCGCUCUCCUUCUGCCCCUUCCCCCACUUGCAAGCUCUCUCUCUCUCACUCUCUCUCUCUGUCAAAUAAAUAAAAUAUUAAAAGAGAGAGAGAGAGAAAU
RNAcentral lists this long non-coding RNA (2057 nucleotides) under Ursus maritimus (polar bear). Its description in RNAcentral is "lncRNA (ENSUMAG00000004203.1)". Lineage: Eukaryota; Metazoa; Chordata; Mammalia; Carnivora; Ursidae. The record is from RNAcentral.